Molecule: small nucleolar RNA, 109 nt
Organism: Syzygium oleosum
Lineage: Eukaryota; Viridiplantae; Streptophyta; Magnoliopsida; Myrtales; Myrtaceae
Source: RefSeq, a predicted model, not a curated record
AAGUGUCAACAUGUGGGCAUCUCCUAAGAAACUCCUUAAAUCUUUCCCAUGCUUCAUACAAUGAUUCAUUAUCCAUCUGCAUAAAAUUAGUAAUAUCGGUACACAUUUU